UGUGAACGAGAAAAUAAAAUUAAUGGAGUUUUUUUUUUUUAAGCAUAGAGGACAAAAAAAAGAUACUGAGUCAUAAUUUUGUGUGACCACAAUUUCAGAGUGAAUCGUUUGCCCACGAAUUUGGACAACAUGAAAAUACAUAUCUCGUGAGUGUCAUCUUUCUUCUCUAAUUGCUUGUACCGUAUGAUGAUUACCUUUACUCCAA
Molecule: long non-coding RNA, 205 nt
Filed under: Capsella rubella
Lineage: Eukaryota; Viridiplantae; Streptophyta; Magnoliopsida; Brassicales; Brassicaceae
Description: long non-coding RNA (CRUB_LNC001283)
Source: RNAcentral